AUUGAACGCUGGCGGCAUGCCUUACACAUGCAAGUCGAACGGCAGCAUGGAGAGCUUGCUCUCUGAUGGCGAGUGGCGAACGGGUGAGUAAUGCAUCGGAACGUACCGUGUAAUGGGGGAUAACGUAGCGAAAGUUACGCUAAUACCGCAUACGACCUGAGGGUGAAAGCAGGGGAUCGCAAGACCUUGCGUUAUACGAGCGGCCGAUGUCAGAUUAGCUAGUUGGUGAGGUAAAGGCUCACCAAGGCGACGAUCUGUAGCGGGUCUGAGAGGACAAUCCGCCACACUGAGACUGAGACACGGCCCAGACUCCUACGGGAGGCAGCAGUGGGGAAUUUUGGACAAUGGGGGCAACCCUGAUCCAGCCAUGCCGCGUGGGUGAAGAAGGCCUUCGGGUUGUAAAGCUCUUUCGGCCGGGAAGAAAUCGCACAGGCUAAUACUCUGUGUGGAUGACGGUACCGGCAUAAGAAGCACCGGCUAACUACGUGCCAGCAGCCGCGGUAA
RNAcentral lists this ribosomal RNA (504 nucleotides) under uncultured bacterium. RNAcentral's name for it is "partial 16S ribosomal RNA". It matches the Rfam family "Bacterial small subunit ribosomal RNA", at positions 30 to 523 of the family's 1533-position model. The record is from RNAcentral.